RNAcentral lists this ribosomal RNA (455 nucleotides) under uncultured bacterium. RNAcentral describes it as "bacterial SSU rRNA". It matches the Rfam family "Bacterial small subunit ribosomal RNA", at positions 340 to 784 of the family's 1533-position model. The record is from RNAcentral.
UACGGAAGGCAGCAGUGGGGAAUAUUGCACAAUGGGCGAAAGCCUGAUGCAGCUAUGCCGCGUGUAUGAAGAAGGCCUUAGGGUUGUAAAGUACUUUCAUCGGGGAGGAAAAAACAAAACUAAUAAUUUUAUUUCUUGACGUUACCCGAAAAAGAAGCACCGGCUAACUCCGUGCCAGCAGCCGCGGUAAUACGGAGGGUGCUAGCGUUAAUCAGAAUUACUGGGCGUAAAGAGCACGUAGGUGGUUUUUUUAAAGUCAGAUGUGAAAUCCCUGGGCUUAACCUAGGAACUGCAUUUUGAAACUGAAAUACUAGAGUAUCGUAGAGGGAGGUAGAAUUCUAGGUGUAGCGGUGAAAUGCGUAGAUAUCUGGAGGAAUACCUGUGGCGAAAGCGGCCUCCUAAACGAAUACUGACACUGAGGGUGCGAAAGCUGGGGAGCAAACAGGGAUUAGAUA